UGGGGAAUAUUGGACAAUGGGCGCAAGCCUGAUCCAGCCAUGCCGCGUGAGUGAUGAAGGCCCUAGGGUUGUAAAGCUCUUUCACCGGUGAAGAUAAUGACGGUAACCGGAGAAGAAGCCCCGGCUAACUCCGUGCCAGCAGCCGCGGUAAUACGAAGGGGGCUAGCGUUGUUCGGAUUUACUGGGCGUAAAGCGCACGUAGGCGGACUUUUAAGUCAGGGGUGAAAUCCCGGGGCUCAACCCCGGGACUGCCUUUGAUACUGGAAGUCUUGAGUAUGGUAGAGGUGAGUGGAAUUCCGAGUGUAGAGGUGAAAUUCGUAGAUAUUCGGAGGAACACCAGUGGCGAAGGCGGCUCACUGGACCAUUACUGACGCUGAGGUGCGAAAGCGUGGGGAGCAAACAGG
This 404-nucleotide ribosomal RNA is filed under the name Actinomycetes bacterium. RNAcentral's name for it is "Actinobacteria bacterium partial 16S ribosomal RNA". It matches the Rfam family "Bacterial small subunit ribosomal RNA", at positions 355 to 776 of the family's 1533-position model. The record is from RNAcentral. Lineage: Bacteria; Bacillati; Actinomycetota; Actinomycetes.